UGCGGAUAGGACAAACGGUUAAGUCACAAGCCCCAUAAGCUUCGAGGAACUGGUUCGACUCCAGUAUCCGCAACCA
Molecule: transfer RNA, 76 nt
Filed under: Flavonifractor sp. An82
Lineage: Bacteria; Bacillati; Bacillota; Clostridia; Eubacteriales; Oscillospiraceae
Description: tRNA-Met
Rfam family: tRNA
About the family: Transfer RNA (tRNA) molecules are approximately 80 nucleotides in length. Their secondary structure includes four short double-helical elements and three loops (D, anti-codon, and T loops).
Source: RNAcentral